RNAcentral lists this ribosomal RNA (419 nucleotides) under uncultured bacterium. RNAcentral describes it as "bacterial SSU rRNA". It matches the Rfam family "Bacterial small subunit ribosomal RNA", at positions 355 to 786 of the family's 1533-position model. The record is from RNAcentral.
UGGGGAAUAUUGCGCAAUGGGCGAAAAGCCUGACGCAGCGACGCCGCGUGAGGGAUGAAGGUCUUCGGAUUGUAAACUCCUGUCCCAGGGGACGAUAAUGACGGUACCCUGGGAGGAAGCCCCGGCUAAGCUACGUGCCAGCAGCCGCGGGUAAUACGUAGGGGCGAAGCGUUAUCCGGAAUUACUGGGUGUAAAGGGAGCGUAGACGGUGAUGUAAGUCUGGAGUGAAAGGCGGGGCCGCAACCCCGCCGACUGCUGACUGAACUAUAUGACUGGAGUGCAGGGAGAGGUAAGCGGAAUUCCUAGUGUAGCGGUGAAAUGCGUAGAUAUUAGGAGGAACACCAGUGGCGAAGGCGGCUUACUGGACUGUAACUGACGUUGAGGCUCGAAAGCGUGGGUAGCAAACAGGAUUAGAUACC